GGGGCUGUAGUUCAGUGGUAGAGUGCUUGCCUUGCAUGUGUGAGGCACUGGGUUUGAUCCUCAGCCCCA
Molecule: transfer RNA, 69 nt
Filed under: Ictidomys tridecemlineatus (thirteen-lined ground squirrel)
Lineage: Eukaryota; Metazoa; Chordata; Mammalia; Rodentia; Sciuridae
Description: Spermophilus tridecemlineatus (thirteen-lined ground squirrel) tRNA
Rfam family: tRNA
About the family: Transfer RNA (tRNA) molecules are approximately 80 nucleotides in length.
Source: Rfam by way of RNAcentral